GUGAGACAUUCCCUGCUUUUUGCUGUAUUGGAUUUUUAAUCAAUGUCAGUAUUAACCUGAGGCAUGACUGAAGAGCCUCAUUCUGUAAGCUGAGGCAGAAUCCAAGCUGUUAAUCACUUGCCCAAUUUAGGAUGCACUAGACAUCAUAAAUACCCUUUUAUUUUGGAUGUGCAGUUCUUGCUGACUAAACUGAGUGCUUCAUGUUGCUGCUAAAGUUUCUCUGAUAUCAUCUGAUAAAGAUACAGAGUUCUCACUGGAGGAGACCAGUUGCAUGUCACAUUUGUGUCCAUCAUGACUACUGAAGGAGCCUUGCUAUCACCAGAGCAGUGCACUCAUGGACGGCAUUUAUUGCACCAGUCACAUUAGGAAAGUGUGGAGAUUGGAUUUGCAUGGCAGAACUACCCAGGCUUCUUGAAUUACAGAUUGUACAAAUUACAGCUGGACCUGGACAUGCUCUGCUGUGCUUCCUGACAAAUUUCAUGCAAGGUGCUGAGUACUUUGGAAUGACAAAAACUGUGAUAGCAAAUGUUUCCUCAUGCCCAGCAUUUGCCUCAUCGUUGCGUUAAAUACUCUUGGAAGUGGGGAAAAGGGCAGUGUGUGAAAGGGAGGAGUAGGAGAUAGUUGGGGGUUCCUCCUCUGUUCAAAUAAUAUGCCAGAGCAUAUAUAUUUCUUUAUAUAUAUAAUAUUUUAUAUAUAUAUAUUUAACAAUAUGCCACGAGCCAGAGGACACCCUGGCUUUCUAGGGCAUCUGUGGUAAGUUUGCAAGGUAGAGCUAGAAAUUAACAGAAACCAGAAAUCAAAUGACAAUUUUAAUAGACUUUAGAACAGAGUGUACGAGUAUAAAACACUGGUUUUGUAUUUCAAAAGUUGCAGGAAGAUAGCCAGUCAUUUUAAACAGUCUUCUACAAAACAUAUGCCAGUAGAUUACAUAAAAGACACUAUAUACAAUAUAAAAGAGCAGAAAACAAUCCUCACUGUAAAAAUAAUUUAAAACAAAGUAUUUCAAUUUAAAAUAUCUCCUAUAGCACAAACUAAUACAUUGUGACAUGCAAGUGAAAACUAAACAUAUUGCAUUCUUUAAUGUAGCCAAAUAAGAGCUGUAUUAAAUUUGGACAAUGAGACAACAUGCCGACAUUUCCCCAUGAAUACAGGAGGCUGUUCUUAAAUAUUUAUUAACUGUUGGAUUAUGUUCAAAGAACAGCUACUAUACAUCUUCCAAAAUGUAAUAAAUAUUAAAGCAAAGUAUAUGAAUAAUCUACAUCGUAGAGUUCAUUUGGGCCAAUGUUGAAAAAGUGGUUUAUAGAAAAAUGCCGUUUCACUGACUACCGCACUGUGCAAUUGUACAAAAUAGUUCUAAAGGCUUGGAAACAAUCUGCACUUGAACAUUUGCAACAUCCAGUUUUAAGGCAGCCUAGCACUUGAGACCGCAGCGCGGCAGGAGCCGCUUCGCUUUUCGUGUCUGAGGUGGAGCUGGCAGCCGGGAGGAGAAUUCCCAGCUGGAUGGAGCAGGAGGUCAGGCCAGCAGGUCCUUAAUCCCACCAGGCUCCCUGGCAGCGUCAGGAGGCUCCCACCACCCGAGUCAGUCUCUCCUGGGCUCGGUGCAUCCGUGAGCACAAAGGAAGAGCUUCGUUUCUGCGCCUUCUCACGCGCUCUUCUGAACUCUGCUUCCACACUGGAGCCUUGGCAAUUCCUCAAAUGCUAUUUAUAAAGCAAGCUGCUCUAGAUGUGACCACUGGAUAGAGCGUGACAGACUCUUUACUGGGGGGAUCCUUUCUGUUUAAAAUUCUAAUUGCUAAGGAGCCAACGUCGAGAACGCUUCACGUCCACAGGAAGUCAUACACAGCAACCCAAGCAUUUUCACAGCACUCCUUGAUCAACCUCAAAAGCAUUGGAUUCCUCACAAGUGCUGCUGUUUCCAUCUCGCUAUCUGCUCGCAAUUAAGUAUGUCUCAAACAUACAGAGUAACUGUUUAAAGCAAAGAAAAUUAGCUGCCACAGUAGGUCUUAGAAAAUGCCAGUGUUUAAUGACAGACUAGGCAUGAAUGAAAGGUUUAGCAGAAGCCUAAGAAGAUUUUAAAUCAACCAAAGUGUUACAAAGCAAGAGGUGUGAAAAUACCAUUCUUUGGUCUAAAUUAGCUGUUCCCUUUAUAUUAGUUCAACAUUCCAAUGGCUUUCUCAAAACGGUUUAAAAAUAAUAGAAGCUGAAAUUUAUUAAGCAAAAAUAUGUAUUAUAUACAUGGAUGCCUGAUCAGACAGAUGAACUUAAAAGUGAACACAGUGACAGUUGUUUAGAUAAUCCUAGUACCUUAGAAAUAAAAAAAAAAAAAA
Long non-coding RNA from Parus major (Great Tit), 2327 nucleotides. RefSeq lists it as uncharacterized. Lineage: Eukaryota; Metazoa; Chordata; Aves; Passeriformes; Paridae. The transcript has 2 exons. The record is from RefSeq and is a predicted model, not a curated record.